This 497-nucleotide ribosomal RNA is filed under the name uncultured bacterium. RNAcentral describes it as "partial 16S ribosomal RNA". It matches the Rfam family "Bacterial small subunit ribosomal RNA", at positions 28 to 507 of the family's 1533-position model. The record is from RNAcentral.
GAUGAACGCUGGCGGCGUGCCUAAUACAUGCAAGUCGAGCGAACGGACGAGAAGCUUGCUUCUCUGAUGUUAGCGGCGGACGGGUGAGUAACACGUGGAUAACCUACCUAUAAGACUGGGAUAACUUCGGGAAACCGGAGCUAAUACCGGAUGAUAUUUUGAACCGCAUGGUUCAAAAGUGAAAGACGGUCUUGCUGUCACUUAUAGAUGGAUCCGCGCUACAUUAGCUAGUUGGUAAGGUAACGGCUUACCAAGGCAACGAUGCAUAGCCGACCUGAGAGGGUGAUCGGCCACACUGGAACUGAGACACGGUCCAGACUCCUACGGGAGGCAGCAGUAGGGAAUCUUCCGCAAUGGGCGAAAGCCUGACGGAGCAACGCCGCGUGAGUGAUGAAGGUCUUCGGAUCGUAAAACUCUGUUAUUAGGGAAGAACAUAUGUGUAAGUAACUGUGCACAUCUUGACGGUACCUAAUCAGAAAGCCACGGCUAACUACGUG